CCUUAGACUCUAAAUCAAAUCUUCAAUUAAAUCCUAGAUAAAUCCUAAAUCCUAAAAUACAUCCUAAAUCAAACCUUAGACAAAUCUUAAAUCUUAAAUCAAAUCUUUGAUCAAAUCCUAGACCAUAAAUUAAACUCUAAAUCAAACUCUAAAUAAAUCCUAAAUCAAAUCCAAGAUCAAAUCCUAAAUCAAAUCCUAAAUCAAAUCCUAAAUCAAAUCCUAAACAAAUCCUAAAACCCAAACUAAAUCCUAGAUCAAACUCUAGAUCUGAAACUAAACCUUAACCCUAUUCAAUUUAAUCCUAAUAUAGUUUAGAAUCUUAAUAUCUAUCAAUUGAAUCAUUGAACUUGCUUAAAUAUUUUACAUACUUAUCAACAAUUGAGUUGAAAAUAAGUACACAAAAUUUAUAGAU
This 412-nucleotide long non-coding RNA is filed under the name Physcomitrium patens. Its description in RNAcentral is "long non-coding RNA (PPAT_LNC013446)". The record is from RNAcentral. Lineage: Eukaryota; Viridiplantae; Streptophyta; Bryopsida; Funariales; Funariaceae.